RNAcentral lists this transfer RNA (71 nucleotides) under Camelus ferus (Wild Bactrian camel). It matches the Rfam family "tRNA". Rfam says of the family: Transfer RNA (tRNA) molecules are approximately 80 nucleotides in length. Their secondary structure includes four short double-helical elements and three loops (D, anti-codon, and T loops). Further hydrogen bonds mediate the characteristic L-shaped molecular structure. tRNAs have two regions of fundamental functional importance: the anti-codon, which is responsible for specific mRNA codon recognition, and the 3' end, to which the tRNAs corresponding amino acid is attached (by aminoacyl-tRNA synthetases). tRNAs cope with the degeneracy of the genetic code in two manners: having more than one tRNA (with a specific anti-codon) for a particular amino acid; and 'wobble' base-pairing, i.e. permitting non-standard base-pairing at the 3rd anti-codon position. The record is from Rfam by way of RNAcentral. Lineage: Eukaryota; Metazoa; Chordata; Mammalia; Artiodactyla; Camelidae.
GGGGGUAUAGCUCAGUGGUAGAGUGCGUACUUGGCAUGCACGAGGUCUGGGUGCGGGCCCCAGUACCUCCA